This is a non-coding RNA of Plutella xylostella (diamondback moth), 3552 nucleotides long. The record is from RefSeq and is a predicted model, not a curated record. Lineage: Eukaryota; Metazoa; Arthropoda; Insecta; Lepidoptera; Plutellidae.
CAUUGAAAAAUAUUUUAGUAAAAAAUAAUAAUGUGUAAAUCAACUGUGAUUCCUAUCUACAUUUGACUUGCAAGUGAUAUUGCAAUAAAUUGCGAAAUUGGGCACUAGAGAUUAAAUCGCAGAUACCAUAGACUAAGAAUCGGUGAGACAAUAGUUCGCAUCGCAUAUCAUUCAUGUGAGUUACAAAACGACGCUACCGUGCGUGCUUUAUCAAACGCGCCCUCCGUAUUGAUCGCCUAUUUUCGCUCCGUGUGGCAGCGGCCAUCUUGAAAAAGCGGCCGCCAUACUGCCGCAAUAGCGUGCGGUAUAAAACCGGGGCGUGACGUCAGCGCGCCCUCAAAAGAUCUCUCAUCGUGGUGCAGUGAAGACGUGUGACCGUGUGACAAAAUUAGUGCGUAGUUCUUCAAGUGACUCAUUGGCCUGGUUGGAUUCAGUCCCAUUGCGUUUCGCGUGGGUCUGGGUUCGACCGACGGCCGCCAUCUUGGUUGCCUUGUGGGCGCGGUCACACGCUGCUAGCUUCGAGUUGGGUUUGUAACGGUAUCAUACUUUUAGUUUUAUUAUUAUUUUGUAACUUGUAAAUAAGUCAUGUUUCAAUUUCAGUCUAUUGCAAAGUAGUUUAAUUGGAAUUAAAUUAUUAUUCAUAUUGAAUAAGAAAAUUGUAUCAUAUGUUUAAGUAUGAAAAUAAACAUAAUUUUGAAAAAGUUGUUGUGUUUCUGAAACUUGUUUUGUCUGACUAUGAUUUCACCCUCAAUAAUGUCAUUCCAUGAGUCACCGCCGCCGCUCCGUGCCAAAGCAUGGCUGCCGAGCAAGUUAGCAGCAGAGUAGCGGAGUUCCUGAGUGAAGACGAACGAGGUCGCAGCUCGCGCAGUUCCUGAGCGGAGUCGAUCGGCCGCGGCGCAAGUCACUCGAGUCCCGGUUUUCAGGCCCUCACCUACUAGGUAACGGUUAGGUUGCGUCAUGACUGUACACUGUUCUCUAUACAUUACUGGCCCGCACCCUGGCGGGCCCCUGCCUGUAAUCAUGUGUUUAGAUCCCAGAUUCCGCCGCUCUGACCUCGGCCAGGGCGGGCCUCGACCAGCCGCACGAAGGUUGACGUGACCUGUCGAGUGCGCUGCCACUUCACGGUCACCUCUGAAUCAAUCAUGACUCAGCGUUUAGGAGGAAGUAAAUGCAUUUCUCGAACAGUCGGUGAGUCACAUUCUCUGCUGAGUGUUUGACGUUGUAAUCAUUGCCUUUAAUCUGAGAUAUUGACCUCAUUUCAAAAAUUAUUUUUGAUAAUUUUGCUAUUGUAAACAAGUCGAGGGACAUUUCUGCGUAAUAACAUUGAAAACAGGUUCCCAUAAUUAGCAAAUUAGCACAAGACAACGGCAGUUACUGAUGUGACGAAACGGUCGGCGUGGGGCCGCCGCGCGCAGCUUUCACUAGAAACAUCCACAACGAGGUCAUGACGCAGGAAACUGCUACACCUGCCACUACUGAGGCCAUUGCAAACUACCUUCGACAAGAGGGAAGCAGACUCUGGAUCUAAACUAGCUACCUAUGCACAGUCAUUAAACACAUGUGAGGGCUCAUAAAUCAUCGCAAGCAUUCAAAUCCAUCCCAACUGAACCUGCGUGAAACUUAGGAAACUAUCUAUAAAUACAACCAAACGGAAUAAAAUGAGGAAAUAUAGGAAAAUGAAGCGUGGACACUAUAGAAUACUGCUUGACGCAAACCUGGUGACUCGAGUGAACUAGCUGAUUCUAUGGGAUUACAAGUUACGCCGUCUCGAACGGAACCAGUCAAUAUCCUGAACUACCCUGCGAUAGACCUACAGAUAAGUCUGUCUCCUAAACAUGACAAGUAGAAACAAUUCCUAAACCAACGUACGCUAACUAUAACUAGGAAAUGACCUAUCACAGUCUAAAUAUGGCAACUGUAAGCAAAACCACUUGGGAGUUGAAUCUGCUCGGAUGUAAUUUAAUCUAGUAUGCAGUCUGUCGAUGAAGGGACGCUUCCUGCACAUGGCAAUUCUGCAACAUGAAGGCUGAAACUAUAAAUAGAUUGUACACUAAAUAAAACUUGAUGCACCUAAAGCCUCGGCAAAUACGCUACAAAGUUUCAACUUUACUUAAGUAAUUCAAUGGAGCUCAAAAAUAUAAUAUUGAUAGAUAAAAAAUAUAUAAGUACUUAAUUAAAUAUCAAAGAAAAUACCUACAAGCACACAAAUAUUUUCUAACUAAGUAUAAGAAAUCAAACAAGUAAUAUAUGAUGUAUUUUUUAUGAUGUACCUACCCAACAACACGGUACAAGAUUCGUCUUAAAUUCUAAAAGGGUAAGCAACGAGAAUUGUGAUGACUUUGAUAAGCAUAUCUAUAAACUUUUCACAUCAGUAAUGUAUAUGCUUGUUAUUUUAGAUAACCAACUAAGCUGAAAAUUCUUCUAUCUGAAGAAAAGAAACCUGAGCUACUGUGUGGCAUCACCUACAAAACUAACUAAAUUACCUUUCAGAACCUCUGAAAAGAACUCAGAAAAACCAAAACUAAAUAAUCAUUAUAAAAGACUUGGGAUACUAAAAUGCACCUAUAACUACUGACAUAAAUAUGGAACCUAUACGACAAAACUAAAUGAUAUUGAAAUGCCUGUCUUGAACUUAACCAUUAGGGAAUAUUUUUGUUUGGGACUGUUCAACAGGACUGCAAGAUUGAAACUACCUGCAAAGUGCUUUCGUGUCUUCUCAUGUUUGAAUAAUCAAGUUUGCCGUACCUACCUACUUCAUACGGUAUCUGACUGAAGGUGAAGAAAGCCUUUCUAAGGUAUUUUAGUGAAUAACUUAAACAGUUAUUUUUAGAUCUGUCUCUUUAUAAUUUUUUGACUAAUGGUGACCAUAGCAGGUUCGAUUCCUGCAAUAUAAGGUCGAAUUGUUUGUUUUAAGUUUCCUUAUUAGGAAACAUAUUGUUUAGAUUUGUUUCUCAGGAUGUUCUGUUGCUUCAUGCCUGCAUCUACUCGUAAGCAAUGGCAGCCUUCAGGGUUGCAUUCCAGCAGCUAGACCAUGCUAGUUUUGGCCUUGUCUUCCUAAUGGCGAUAUGGAAACGUUGAUUUGUGGUACCUAUCUUUUGCGUGAAUUUUGUGGAGGUGGAAACUGACAGUCAUUGAGGUUUUUAUUUUUAUUAUGUUAUAACAUGAAAGUUUUUCAUAUUUCUAAGCAUGCCUAGAAAAUGGUCUCAUAAUUAUAUUAUUUAGCUUUCGUACUUAGCAGUAGCUUGCUUUUAGUAGGUACUUUUACUUAAUAUGCGAAGUACCUACAAAACUCUGAAUCUGAGUGUAAAUCUAACGGUGGUCUAUUUUUUGUUUUUCGUGUCUCUUUUUUAUUCAGAUGCAAGUUGUCAAUGAUUAAUUUAGAUAGCGUGACUGCCUGCCUGCUAUAUGUACAAGGAGAAGUUACCAUGCGACCUAUAUGGACACUUCAGCAUUUCUGAAAAGCAAAGGGCUGUGACGCCGGUAUUAUUUAAGUGUUUUAUGAAUAAACAGAAAACCAAAGUAAUGAAAUGACAUGAGGUAAACAAUUCAAAU